This is a non-coding RNA of Mauremys mutica (yellowpond turtle), 528 nucleotides long. Lineage: Eukaryota; Metazoa; Chordata; Testudines; Geoemydidae. The record is from the annotation of a RefSeq genome assembly.
AUGUACUGCUCCUUGCAGUGGCUUUGGAAGGUAUUUUCUCCCCUCGCACCCAUUCGCGGGGCAGGGGAACAGUCUAUUGUUACUCUUAAUACUAAUGCGAAUUACAUUAUCUCUCUAUUCCCAGGUGUCCGGUCCCAGGUGCAGCUGGUGGAGUCCGGAGGGGAUGUGAAAAAGCCCGGAGACUCUCUCCGCCUCUCCUGCAAAGCCUCCGGGUUCACCAUCAGCAGCUACGGGAUGAGCUGGGUCCGGCAGGCUCCCGGGAAGGGGCUGGAGUGGGUUUCAAGCACUUACCGGGAAGUAUGGAACCGCUAUUACUACGCAGACUCAGUGAAAGGCCGAUUCACCAUCUCCAGGGACGAUUCCAACAACCUGGUGCAUUUGGACAUGACCGGCCUGAAGCCCGAGGACACCGCCCGGUAUCACUGUGCGAGAGUGAGCGUGCUGCGGCUGUGCUCACCCUCGCCCGCCCGCAAACAAACAGCUGAUCGACAGCCGGCAGGGGGAAGGCGGGAACGCAGCAAGCUGUGA